GUGCUCGUUUCAACAGCACAUAUACUAAAAUUAGAAUGAUACAGAGAUUAGCAAUGGCCCCUGCGCAAGGAUGACACACAAAUUCAUGAAGCGUUCCAUAUUUUU
Molecule: small nuclear RNA, 105 nt
Organism: Dipodomys spectabilis (banner-tailed kangaroo rat)
Lineage: Eukaryota; Metazoa; Chordata; Mammalia; Rodentia; Heteromyidae
Source: RefSeq, a predicted model, not a curated record